RNAcentral lists this ribosomal RNA (84 nucleotides) under Paenibacillus validus. RNAcentral's name for it is "Bacterial small subunit ribosomal RNA". It matches the Rfam family "Bacterial small subunit ribosomal RNA", at positions 1 to 85 of the family's 1533-position model. The record is from Rfam by way of RNAcentral. Lineage: Bacteria; Bacillati; Bacillota; Bacilli; Caryophanales; Paenibacillaceae.
UUAAUGGAGAGUUUGAUCCUGGCUCAGGACGAACGCUGGCGGCGUGCCUAAUACAUGCAAGUCGAGCGGACUUAUCCUUCGGGA